UAGGGAAUCUUCGCCAAUGGGGGGAACCCUGACCGAGCAACGCCGCGUGAGUGAAGAAGGUUUUCGGAUUGUAAAGCUCUGUUGUUAAGGAAGAACGAGUGUGAGAAUGGAAAGUUCAUACUGUGACGGUACUUAACCAGAAAGGGACGGCUAACUACGUGCCAGCAGCCGCGGUAAUACGUAGGUCCCGAGCGUUGUCCGGAUUUAUUGGGCGUAAAGCGAGCGCAGGCGGUUAGAUAAGUCUGAAGUUAAAGGCAGUGGCUCAACCAUUGUAGGCUUUGGAAACUGUUUAACUUGAGUGCAGAAGGGGAGAGUGGAAUUCCAUGUGUAGCGGUGAAAUGCGUAGAUAUAUGGAGGAACACCGGUGGCGAAAGCGGCUCUCUGGUCUGUAACUGACGCUGAGGCUCGAAAGCGUGGGGAGCGAACAGG
This 429-nucleotide ribosomal RNA is filed under the name Bacteroidota bacterium. Its description in RNAcentral is "Bacteroidetes bacterium partial 16S ribosomal RNA". It matches the Rfam family "Bacterial small subunit ribosomal RNA", at positions 355 to 776 of the family's 1533-position model. The record is from RNAcentral. Lineage: Bacteria; Pseudomonadati; Bacteroidota.